CAUUCGGCCUUUCGAGUCUGCACCGCCAUUCAAUAUGAUCAUGGCUGAUCAUCCAACUCAGUCUCAUGUACCUGCCUUCUCUCCAUACCCCCUGAUCCCUUUAGUCACAAGGGCCACAUCUAACUCACUCUUGAAUAUAGCCAAUGAACUGGCCUCAACUACAUGCUGUGGCAGAUAUUUCCACAGAUUCACCACUCUGUGUGUGAAAAAAAAUGUUUUUCUCAUCUCGGUCCUAAAAGAUUUCCCCCUUAUCCUUAAACUGUGUGGCCCCUUGUCCUGGACUUCCUCAACAUCGGGAACAAUCUUCCUGCAUCUAGCCUAUCCAACCCCUUAAUAUUUUUGUACGUUUCCAUAGGAUCCACUCUUCUAAUUUCUAACGAGUACAAGCCGAGUCUAUCCAGUCUUUCUUCUUAUGAAAGUCCUGACAUCCCAGGAAUCAGUCUGGUGAACCUUCUCUGUACUCCCUCUACGGCAAGAAUGUAUUUCCUCAGAUUAGGAGACCAAAACUGUACACAAUACAGAUGUGGUCUCAACAGAGGCCUAUACAGCUGCAGAAGAACCUCUUUACUCCUAUACUGAAAUCCUCUUGUUAUGAAGGCCAACAUUCCAUUAGCUUUCUUCACUGCCUGCUGUACCUGCACGCUAACUUUCAGUGGCCGGUGUACAAGUACACCCAGGUCUCGCUGCCCCUCCCUGUCUGUUUAACCUCCACCCAUCCAGCCCAUACACCCCCUCCCCCCUAUUUCUGUACCCCCCUUCCCUCAUUAUCUCCGUAACGACCUCCCUCCCCUCCAGCCCCUUCCUGUGACCGGUGUUUCUUGGAGAGGGUCCAGAUGAGAUUUACAAGAACGAUCCCAGGAAUGAGGGGGUUAACUAACGUACGAUGAACGUUUGUCGGCACUGGGCCUGUACUCGCUGGGGUUUAGAAGGAUGACGGGGCACCUCAUUGAAACGUACAGAAUAGUGAAAGGCCUGGAUAGAGUGGAUGUGGAGAGGAUAUUUCCACCAGUGGGAGAGUCUAGGACCUGAGGGCGCAGCCCCAGAAUUAAAGAUGAGGAUGAACCUCUUUAGCCAGAAUGUCGUUAAUCAGUGGAACUCAUUGCCACAGACGGCUGUGGAUAUUAUUAAGACAGAGAUAGAUAGAUUCUUGAUUAGUGCGGGUGUCAAGGGUUAUGUGGAGAAAGCAGGAAAAUAGGGUUAGGAGGGAGAGAUCAGCCAUGAUUGAAUGGCGGUGUAGACUUGAUGGGCUGAAUGGCCUAAAUCCACUCCUAUAACUUGUGAAUUUCUUUCUUCACAGGAUCUGAAUCUCGGUGACCGGGAUCUGUACAGCGAGAAGAAGCCCAGAUACAAACGAACCUCUGCUCAACCCCUCUGUGUCCACCCCCCCUCCCCUCUGCCCACUUUCUCUGAUGUUUCUUUCUGCCCAUAUCUCUCUUUCCUUACUCUCUAUAAUCACCCUCCCUCCCAUCGACUCCAUCUACACCUCACGCUGCCUCGGCAAGGCCAGCAGCCCAGACCAGGACCGGCCUUAGGAGGUGCGGGACCCAAUUGGGAACAAUUUUGAUGACUCUGGAUAUCUUGUGGAACAUGACAGAAUUAGCUGGUAGCUUCACAACAAAGAAUCCUCAGGGAAACCAUGUUUAAAUGACAGGAAUGUACAUUGAUCUUAUAAGUGAUAAAGUGAAAUUAGAAA
This is a long non-coding RNA of Leucoraja erinaceus (little skate), 1693 nucleotides long. RefSeq lists it as uncharacterized. The transcript has 2 exons. The record is from RefSeq and is a predicted model, not a curated record. NCBI's taxonomy places the organism in Eukaryota, Metazoa, Chordata, Chondrichthyes, Rajiformes, Rajidae.